CCUACGGGUGGCAGCAGUAGGGAAUCUUUCACAAUGGGCGAAAGCCUGAUGGAGCAACGUCGCGUGCAGGAUGAAGGCCUUCGGGUUGUAAACUGCUUUUAUAAGCGAGAAAUAUGAUGGUAACUUAUGAAUAAGGAUCGGCUAACUACGUGCCAGCAGCCGCGGUCAUACGUAGGAUCCGAGCAUUAUCCGGAGUGACUGGGUGUAAAGAGUUGCGUAGGUGGCAUAAUAAGUAGCUAGUGAAAUCUGGUGGCUCAACCAUUCAGACUAUUAGCGAAACUGUUAAGCUCGAGACCGUUAGAGGUAACUGGAAUGUGUAGUGUAGGAGUGAAAUCCGUAGAUAUUAGAAGGAACACCAAUAGCGUAGGCAGGUUGCUGGGACGGUUCUGACGCUAAGGCACGAAAGCGUAGGGAGCAAACGGGAUUAGAUACCCUUGUAGUC
RNAcentral lists this ribosomal RNA (442 nucleotides) under uncultured bacterium. Its description in RNAcentral is "partial 16S ribosomal RNA". It matches the Rfam family "Bacterial small subunit ribosomal RNA", at positions 338 to 795 of the family's 1533-position model. The record is from RNAcentral.